UCCCUCCAUAACCCCCUCUCCUAACAUGAAGUUGUAGGCUUGUGCAAAUACAAGCCUUAUUCUGCUUGUUAGGUGCAAUAUUAUAUUUAAUCUUUUGUAUGCUGGUGCUUGUGAAUUGAAGUAGCUGGGAACAAAGCUUAUUAUUAAAAUUUAUUUAUUUGCUUUAUGAUUUUUAUUUGAUGUCCAUCUGUCUCUCAUCCACGUUCCUGAAUUUCAUGUGCAAGUAUUUUUGUUUAAUGUCAUCUCUCUCUCUCCACAUUCUUGAGUUUCAUGUGCAGGUAAG
Molecule: unclassified non-coding RNA, 283 nt
Filed under: Hevea brasiliensis (rubber tree)
Lineage: Eukaryota; Viridiplantae; Streptophyta; Magnoliopsida; Malpighiales; Euphorbiaceae
Source: RNAcentral